Molecule: ribosomal RNA, 566 nt
Filed under: uncultured bacterium
Lineage: Bacteria
Description: partial 16S ribosomal RNA
Rfam family: Bacterial small subunit ribosomal RNA
Source: RNAcentral
GGCGGCGUGCUUAACACAUGCAAGUCGAACGGGACCUUCGGGUCUAGUGGCGAACGGGUGAGUAACACGUGGGUAACCUGCCCCAGGCUCUGGGAUAACUCCGGGAAACCGGGGCUAAUACCGGAUAUGACCCAUCAUCGCAUGGUGUGUGGGUGGAAAGUUUUUUCGGUCUGGGAUGGGCCCGCGGCCUAUCAGCUUGUUGGUGGGGUGAUGGCCUACCAAGGCGUUGACGGGUAGCCGGCCUGAGAGGGCGACCGGCCACACUGGGACUGAGACACGGCCCAGACUCCUGCGGGAGGCAGCAGUGGGGAAUAUUGCGCAAUGGGCGGAAGCCUGACGCAGCGACGCCGCGUGGGGGAUGACGGCCUUCGGGUUGUAAACCCCUUUCACCAUCCACCAAGCCUUGUGGUUUUCCAUGGGGUGAGUGUAGGUGGGGAAGAAGCACCGGCUAACUACGUGCCAGCAGCCCGCGGUAAUACGUAGGGUGCGAGCGUUGUCCGGAUUUAUUGGGCGUAAAGGGCUCGUAGGCGGCUUGUCGCGUCGGGAGUUAAAGCCCGCUGCUUAAC